GUAGGGAAUCUUCCGCAAUGGACGAAAGUCUGACGGAGCAACGCCGCGUGAGUGAUGAAGGUUUUCGGAUCGUAAAACUCUGUUGUCAGGGAAGAACAAGUGCCGGAGUAACUGCCGGCACCUUGACGGUACCUGACCAGAAAGCCACGGCUAACUACGUGCCAGCAGCCGCGGUAAUACGUAGGUGGCAAGCGUUGUCCGGAAUUAUUGGGCGUAAAGCGCGCGCAGGCGGUCUCUUAAGUCUGAUGUGAAAGCCCACGGCUCAACCGUGGAGGGUCAUUGGAAACUGGGGGACUUGAGUGCAGAAGAGGAAAGUGGAAUUCCACGUGUAGCGGUGAAAUGCGUAGAGAUGUGGAGGAACACCAGUGGCGAAGGCGACUUUCUGGUCUGUAACUGACGCUGAGGCGCGAAAGCGUGGGGAGCAAACAGGAUUAGAAACCCUAGUAGUCC
Molecule: ribosomal RNA, 450 nt
Filed under: uncultured Bacillus sp.
Lineage: Bacteria; Bacillati; Bacillota; Bacilli; Caryophanales; Bacillaceae
Description: bacterial SSU rRNA
Rfam family: Bacterial small subunit ribosomal RNA
Source: RNAcentral